CACAGCCUGAUCAGCUACAUCAGGCUAUACCUGGAACAACCCUGCUGAAGUCCACAUUAUCAGCUUCCCAGGGAGUAGGUGAUUUUGGAAAUGAGGUUAACAAAAGUCCAUGCUGAAGGUUAUGUUAAGAACAAAUAAAGGAUGGAAUUAAA
Molecule: long non-coding RNA, 152 nt
Organism: Alligator mississippiensis (American alligator)
Lineage: Eukaryota; Metazoa; Chordata; Crocodylia; Alligatoridae
Exons: 2
Source: RefSeq, a predicted model, not a curated record